RNAcentral lists this ribosomal RNA (523 nucleotides) under uncultured bacterium. RNAcentral's name for it is "bacterial SSU rRNA". It matches the Rfam family "Bacterial small subunit ribosomal RNA", at positions 8 to 524 of the family's 1533-position model. The record is from RNAcentral.
AGAGUUUGAUCCUGGCUCAGGACGAACGCUGGCGGCGUGCUUAAUACAUGCAAGUCGAGCGAGGUUACUGCGACAGAUCCCUUCGGGGUGAAGUUGCUUUAGCCUAGCGGCGGACGGGUGAGUAACGCGUGGGUAACCUACCCCAAAGUCCGGGAUAACAGCGGGAAACCGCUGCUAAUACCGGAUGCCUUUACCUUGGGGCAUCUUGAGGUAAAGAAAGGCAACGCUUUGGGAUGGGCCCGCGUCCCAUUAGCUAGUUGGUGAGGUAACGGCUCACCAAGGCGACGAUGGGUAGCCGGCCUGAGAGGGUGGACGGCCACACUGGGACUGAGACACGGCCCAGACUCCUACGGGAGGCAGCAGUAGGGAAUAUUGCGCAAUGGACGGAAGUCUGACGCAGCGACGCCGCGUGAGCGAUGAAGGUCUUCGGAUCGUAAAGCUCUGUCCUUGGGGAAGAAGGCGAAAGCUUGACGGUACCCAAGAAGAAAGCCCCGGCUAACUACGUGCCAGCAGCCGCGGUAAU